RNAcentral lists this Y RNA (108 nucleotides) under Carlito syrichta (Philippine tarsier). RNAcentral describes it as "Y RNA (ENSTSYG00000026495.1)". It matches the Rfam family "Y RNA". Rfam says of the family: Y RNAs are components of the Ro ribonucleoprotein particle (Ro RNP), in association with Ro60 and La proteins. Lineage: Eukaryota; Metazoa; Chordata; Mammalia; Primates; Tarsiidae. The record is from Rfam by way of RNAcentral.
GACAGGGCCAGAGGUGGUGAGUUGUCUUGAUUGUUCAAUGUCAGUGAGAGAUCAAACUCCUUGUUCUGCUCUUUCCCCUGUCUCACUACUGCAUUUGACUAGUCUUUA